UAAAGGUGGAACAGUUAGGAAAAUGCUUGC
This 30-nucleotide non-coding RNA is filed under the name Mus musculus (house mouse). Lineage: Eukaryota; Metazoa; Chordata; Mammalia; Rodentia; Muridae. The record is from RNAcentral.